Molecule: ribosomal RNA, 440 nt
Filed under: uncultured bacterium
Lineage: Bacteria
Description: partial 16S ribosomal RNA
Rfam family: Bacterial small subunit ribosomal RNA
Source: RNAcentral
CCUACGGGUGGCUGCAGUGGGGAAUAUUGCACAAUGGGGGAAACCCUGAUGCAGCGACGCCGCGUGAGUGAAGAAGUAAUUCGUUAUGGAAAGCUCUAUUAGCAGGGAAGAAAAUGACGGUACCUGAGUAAGGAGCCGCGGCUAAAUACGUGCCGGCAGCCGCGGCAAUGUGUAGGGGGCAAGCGUGAUCCGGAUUUACUGGGUGUAAAGGGAGCGUAGAGGGCAGUGCAGGUCUGGAGUGAAAGGCGGGGGCUCAACCCCCGGACUGCUCUGGAAACUGUCAGGCUGGAGUGCAGGAGAGGUAAGUGGAAUUCCUAGUGUAGCGGUGAAAUGCGUAGAUAUUAGGAGGAACACCAGUUGCGAAGGCGGCUUACUGGACUGUAACUGACGUUGAGGCUCGAAAGCGUGGGGAGCAAACAGGAUUAGAUACCCGAGUAGUC